RNAcentral lists this ribosomal RNA (242 nucleotides) under uncultured bacterium. RNAcentral's name for it is "partial 16S ribosomal RNA". It matches the Rfam family "Bacterial small subunit ribosomal RNA", at positions 89 to 334 of the family's 1533-position model. The record is from RNAcentral.
UGACGAGUGGCGGACGGGUGAGUAAUGUCUGGGGAUCUGCCUGAUGGAGGGGGAUAACUACUGGAAACGGUAGCUAAUACCGCAUAAUGUCGCAAGACCAAAGCGGGGGACUUUCGGGCCUCGCACCAUCAGAUGAACCCAGAUGGGAUUAGCUAGUAGGUAGGGUAAUGGCUUACCUAGGCGACGAUCCCUAGCUGGUCUGAGAGGAUGACCAGCCACACUGGAACUGAGACACGGUCCAG